RNAcentral lists this ribosomal RNA (706 nucleotides) under uncultured Curvibacter sp. RNAcentral's name for it is "bacterial SSU rRNA". It matches the Rfam family "Bacterial small subunit ribosomal RNA", at positions 49 to 750 of the family's 1533-position model. The record is from RNAcentral. Lineage: Bacteria; Pseudomonadati; Pseudomonadota; Betaproteobacteria; Burkholderiales; Comamonadaceae.
UUACACAUGCAAGUCGAACGGCAGCACGGGAGCAAUCCUGGUGGCGAGUGGCGAACGGGUGAGUAAAGUAUCGGAACGUGCCCAGUCGUGGGGGAUAACGUAGCGAAAGUUACGCUAAUACCGCAUACGAUCUAUGGAUGAAAGCGGGGGAUCGCAAGACCUCGCGCGAUCGGAGCGGCCGAUAUCAGAUUAGGUAGUUGGUGGGGUAAAGGCUCACCAAGCCGACGAUCUGUAGCUGGUCUGAGAGGACGACCAGCCACACUGGGACUGAGACACGGCCCAGACUCCUACGGGAGGCAGCAGUGGGGAAUUUUGGACAAUGGGCGCAAGCCUGAUCCAGCCAUGCCGCGUGCAGGAUGAAGGCCUUCGGGUUGUAAACUGCUUUUGUACGGAACGAAAAGGUUUGGCCUAAUAAGCUGAGCUCAUGACGGUACCGUAAGAAUAAGCACCGGCUAACUACGUGCCAGCAGCCGCGGCAAUACGUAGGGUGCGAGCGUUAAUCGGAAUUACUGGGCGUAAAGCGUGCGCAGGCGGUUAUGUAAGACAGAUGUGAAAUCCCCGGGCUCAACCUGGGAACUGCAUUAGUGACUGCAUAGCUGGAGUACGGCAGAGGGGGAUGGAAUUCCGCGUGUAGCAGUGAAAUGCGUAGAUAUGCGGAGGAACACCGAUGGCGAAGGCAAUCCCCUGGGCCUGUACUGACGCUCAU